RNAcentral lists this non-coding RNA (27 nucleotides) under Homo sapiens (human). Lineage: Eukaryota; Metazoa; Chordata; Mammalia; Primates; Hominidae. The record is from RNAcentral.
UCUUGAAAUCUAAACACAAGACAGAAG